RNAcentral lists this ribosomal RNA (146 nucleotides) under Bacteroides stercoris CC31F. The record is from RNAcentral. Lineage: Bacteria; Pseudomonadati; Bacteroidota; Bacteroidia; Bacteroidales; Bacteroidaceae.
AGGUGACUAUAGCACUGAGGUUCCACCUCUUCCCAUUCCGAACAGAGAAGUUAAGUUCAUUUGUCUGCCUUGCCUUGUUUUGCUUUGCUUUUCUUUUCUUUGUUUUGCUUGUUUUCUUGGGGUCAGCAGAUUUUUAGUGGGGAUUA